AGUGAACGCUGGCGGUAGGCCUAACACAUGCCAGUCGAACGGCAGCACAGUAAGAGCUUGCUCUUACGGGUGGCGAGUGGCGGACGAGUGAGCAAUACAUCGGAAUCUACUUUUUCGUGGGGGAUAACGUAGGGAAACUUACGCUAAUACCGCAUACGACCUACGGGUGAAAGCAGGGGAUCUUCGGACCUUGCGCGAUUGAAUGAGCCGAUGUCGGAUUAGCUAGUUGGCGGGGUAAAGGCCCACCAAGGCGACGAUCCGUAGCUGGUCUGAGAGGAUGAUCAGCCACACUGGAACUGAGACACGGUCCAGACUCCUACGGGAGGCAGCAGUGGGGAAUAUUGGACAAUGGGCGCAAGCCUGAUCCAGCCAUACCGCGUGGGUGAAGAAGGCCUUCGGGUUGUAAAGCCCUUUUGUUGGGAAAGAAAAGCAGCAGGUUAAUACCCCGCUGUUCUGACGGUACCCAAAGAAUAAGCACCGGCUAACUUCGUG
RNAcentral lists this ribosomal RNA (492 nucleotides) under uncultured bacterium. Its description in RNAcentral is "partial 16S ribosomal RNA". It matches the Rfam family "Bacterial small subunit ribosomal RNA", at positions 29 to 507 of the family's 1533-position model. The record is from RNAcentral.